This 331-nucleotide ribosomal RNA is filed under the name uncultured eukaryote. RNAcentral describes it as "partial 18S ribosomal RNA". It matches the Rfam family "Eukaryotic small subunit ribosomal RNA", at positions 1470 to 1796 of the family's 1831-position model. The record is from RNAcentral.
CCCUUAGAUGUUCUGGGCCGCACGCGCGCUACACUGAUGCAUUCAACGAGCCUAUCCUUGACCGACAGGUCCGGGUAAUCUUUGAAUCUGCAUCGUGACGGGGAUAGAUUAUUGCAAUUAUUAAUCUUCAACGAGGAAUGCCUAGUAGGCGCAAGUCAUCAGCUUGCGUCGAUUACGUCCCUGCCCUUUGUACACACCGCCCGUCGCUCCUACCGAUUGGAUGGCUUAGUGAGACCCUCGGACCGAUAGGCUGUCGCCGCGGCAACGUGGCGACCGGCCCGUCGGGAAGAAGGUCAAACUUGACUGUCUAGAGGAAGUAAAAGUCGUAACA